Takifugu rubripes (torafugu) is the source of this 114-nucleotide non-coding RNA. Lineage: Eukaryota; Metazoa; Chordata; Actinopteri; Tetraodontiformes; Tetraodontidae. The record is from Rfam.
GUCGGUUAUGGGGACAUGUGUCCCAUCACCUUGGGGGGCAAAAUGGUGGGCACACUCUGUGCCAUCGCGGGAGUGCUGACCAUUGCUUUGCCCGUCCCUGUCAUUGUUUCCAAC